This 250-nucleotide ribosomal RNA is filed under the name uncultured prokaryote. Its description in RNAcentral is "partial 16S ribosomal RNA". It matches the Rfam family "Bacterial small subunit ribosomal RNA", at positions 524 to 773 of the family's 1533-position model. The record is from RNAcentral.
UACGUAGGGAGCGAGCGUUGUCCGGAAUUACUGGGCGUAAAGGGUGCGUAGGCGGUCGUCUAAGUCAGAUGUGAAAAGCCCGGGCUCAACCCGGGAGGUGCAUCUGAUACUGGAAGACUUGAGUGCAGGAGAGGAAAGCGGAAUUCCUAGUAUAGCGGUGAAAUGCGUAGAUAUUAGGAGGAACACCAGAGGCGAAGGCGGCUUUCUGGACUGCAACUGACGCUGAGGCACGAAAGCGUGGGGAGCAAAC